GCCCGUGCCGAAGGUUUGCAUACGGGUAAUUCAGACGAACCUGGGUACAUCCCGGGUACCAUGGCCCGUGGGAAAGUCCCCGGAUCACGAGGCAGAGAUGUCAUCCGUUAACGGAGGCGUCGGCACGGUCGCCGUCAUCGUGGCAAAGACACGAGCCCUGACGGCCCGGCUGAUUGUUCAUCAUAGCAAAGUUAUGCAAGCGCCGCCCGGUGUCAUGCCGGACCGGUUCCACAACGGGGCUUACUCUCAGUGCUGG
Molecule: RNase MRP RNA, 256 nt
Filed under: Plasmodiophora brassicae
Lineage: Eukaryota; Endomyxa; Phytomyxea; Plasmodiophorida; Plasmodiophoridae
Description: RNase MRP
Rfam family: RNase MRP
About the family: RNase MRP is an enzymatically active ribonucleoprotein with two distinct roles in eukaryotes.
Source: Rfam by way of RNAcentral